GUGUGUAUUAAAGUGUCCUAAGAGCUGUCUAAAUUUCUAGAGUUGUUGAACCUACUUUUCAUCUUAGAAUGGUUAAGAGUCUUGUGUUAUGAAUUGAAGAUAUAUGUCAUGUUUGAAUGUGUAUUAGGGUGAUAUAUGAGUUGUCUACUCCUAUGAUUGUAUUCAUGAGUUGUUUAAGGUGAUUAGAUGAGUUGUCUAGUCUCUGGUUUUGUUAUUUGAGCAUAUCAUUGUUUAAUUGAUUAUAAAAAAUAGCUUAAAUGUCUUGUAAUUGAUGAGUUAUCAUACUUGAACAUUUAGUGAGUUGGUUGCAUGAAUUUGAACUAGAUAAUUUAUUUAGAUUUUGUCCAUUGCAUUUUCUCAAAACAUUCGGAUCAGAAUCGCUGAGUUAUCAAGAUCCUAGUGUGUAUGGUCUGAUUCUUGCUAGAGUUUGAGUGAUGUUUCAGGUACACAAGUGUUGUUCUCUGUCCAUCAUCAAAUCAAGACAAAGAAGAAGGCUUUGCCUAUGUUGUUUUGAGCCUACACAUGAUGUAUCUUUAUGUUUGAUUUAGAGCCUAUACAUAAUGUAUAUUCCUGACCAUGGAGAGAUUGUUUGUGAGAAGACCAGGUGGUAUUAAGUCGUGGCUGAGACAGAAUAUGGCUGAACUUUAAAGAAAUUUCAUGAAGGAGUAUUGAUGGAGAGACAGACCAAUGUUUGAUCAGCCACCCACCAAACUGAAUUUCCUCGUAGAUUGCAAUGUCAAAGAUGAGGUGACUUGUAGCUGAAGAAGAUAACAAGUCAGGAAUAAGUGGCACUCAUAUAAAGCUUGUCUCCUUCACUAUACUCAGAACCAUAUGUUCUAACACCAAGUUGUUGAUGUCCUUGUUGAAUUCUUCUUGCAAGAGUUUCUAGAUAGGCCAUGGAAGCACAUUUACUGCCACAGGUGGUAUUAAGUCGUGGCUGAGACAGAAUAUGGCUGAACUUUGAAGAUACUUCAUGAAGGAGUAUUGAUGGAGAGGCAGACAAGUGUUUGAUCAGCCACCCACCAAGCUGGAUUUCCUCGUAGAUUGCAAUUUCAAAGAUGAAGUGACUUGUAGCUGAAGAAGCUAACAAGUCAGGAAUAAGUGGCGCUCAUAUCAAGCUCCUUCAUUAUACUCGGAGCCAAUCUUGAGGGGGGCAGUAAAUGAGCUUCCAUGGCCUAUCUAGAAACUCUUGCAAGAAGAAUUCAACAAGGACAUCAACAACUUGGUGUUAGAACAU
Molecule: long non-coding RNA, 1237 nt
Filed under: Brassica napus (rape)
Lineage: Eukaryota; Viridiplantae; Streptophyta; Magnoliopsida; Brassicales; Brassicaceae
Description: long non-coding RNA (BNAP_LNC011092)
Source: RNAcentral